UUUCCGUAGGUGAACCUGCGGAAGGAUCAUUAUUGGAUUUUGAAACUUCAGGCUGCUGCUGGCUCUCCUCGGAGGGCAUGUGCACGCUUGUUGUCCAUUAUUUCUCCCACUGUGCACAAAUUGUAGACCUUUCAGUAGGCCUAUGUUGUUUUUCACAAUCUCUGAAUGUGAUGGAAUGGUUUUGAAUCUUGGGAAAUACAAUACAACUUUCAGCAACGGAUCUCUUGGCUCUC
RNAcentral lists this unclassified non-coding RNA (233 nucleotides) under plant metagenome. Its description in RNAcentral is "partial contains small subunit ribosomal RNA, internal transcribed spacer 1, and 5.8S ribosomal RNA". The record is from RNAcentral.